UGGGGAAUCUUCCGCAAUGGACGAAAGUCUGACGGAGCAACGCCGCGUGAGUGAUGACGGCCUUCGGGUUGUAAAGCUCUGUUAAUCGGGACGAAUGGCUACCAUGCGAAUAGUUUGGCAGUUUGACGGUACCGGAAUAGAAAGCCACGGCUAACUACGUGCCAGCAGCCGCGGUAAUACGUAGGUGGCAAGCGUUGUCCGGAAUUAUUGGGCGUAAAGCGCGCGCAGGCGGCUUCCCAAGUCCCUCUUAAAAGUGCGGGGCUUAACCCCGUGAUGGGAAGGAAACUGGGAAGCUGGAGUAUCGGAGAGGAAAGUGGAAUUCCUAGUGUAGCGGUGAAAUGCGUAGAGAUUAGGAAGAACACCGGUGGCGAAGGCGACUUUCUGGACGAAAACUGACGCUGAGGCGCGAAAGCGUGGGGAGCAAACAGGAUUAGAUACCCUGGUAGUCCACGCCGUAAACGAUGGAUACUAGGUGUAGGAGGUAUCGACCCCUCCUGUGCCGGAGUUAACGCAAUAAGUAUCCCGCCUGGGAAGUACGAUCGCAAGAUUA
Molecule: ribosomal RNA, 550 nt
Filed under: uncultured bacterium
Lineage: Bacteria
Description: bacterial SSU rRNA
Rfam family: Bacterial small subunit ribosomal RNA
Source: RNAcentral